CCUAACCAUGCAAGUCGAGCGGUAGCACAGAGAGCUUGCUCUCGGGUGACGAGCGGCGGACGGGUGAGUAAUGUCUGGGAAACUGCCUGAUGGAGGGGGAUAACUACUGGAAACGGUAGCUAAUACCGCAUAACGUCGCAAGACCAAAGUGGGGGACCUUCGGGCCUCAUGCCAUCAGAUGUGCCCAGAUGGGAUUAGCUAGUAGGUGGGGUAACGGCUCACCUAGGCGACGAUCCCUAGCUGGUCUGAGAGGAUGACCAGCCACACUGGAACUGAGACACGGUCCAGACUCCUACGGGAGGCAGCAGUGGGGAAUAUUGCACAAUGGGCGCAAGCCUGAUGCAGCCAUGCCGCGUGUGUGAAGAAGGCCUUCGGGUUGUAAAGCACUUUCAGCGGGGAGGAAGGCGUUGAGGUUAAUAACCUUGUCGAUUGACGUUACCCGCAGAAGAAGCACCGGCUAACUCCGUGCCAGCAGCCGCGGUAAUACGGAGGGUGCAAGCGUUAUGGCGGAAUUACUGGGCGUAAAGCGCACGCAGGCGGUCUGUCAAGUCGGAUGUGAAAUCCCCGGGCUCAACCUGGGAACUGCAUUCGAAACUGGCAGGCUAGAGUCUUGUAGAGGGGGGUAGAAUUCCAGGUGUAGCGGUGAAAUGCGUAGAGAUCUGGAGGAAUACCGGUGGCGAAGGCGGCCCCCUGGACAAAGACUGACGCUCAGGUGCGAAAGCGUGGGGAGCAAACAGGAUUAGAUACCCUGGUAGUCCACGCCGUAAACGAUGUCGAUUUGGAGGUUGUGCCCUUGAGGCGUGGCUUCCGGAGCUAACGCGUUAAAUCGACCGCCUGGGGAGUACGGCCGCAAGGUUAAAACUCAAAUGAAUUGACGGGGGCCCGCACAAGCGGUGGAGCAUGUGGUUUAAUUCGAUGCAACGCGAAGAACCUUACCUGGUCUUGACAUCCACAGAACUUUCCAGAGAUGGAUUGGUGCCUUCGGGAACUGUGAGACAGGUGCUGCAUGGCUGUCGUCAGCUCGUGUUGUGAAAUGUUGGGUUAAGUCCCGCAACGAGCGCAACCCUUAUCCUUUGUUGCCAGCGGUUCGGCCGGGAACUCAAAGGAGACUGCCAGUGAUAAACUGGAGGAAGGUGGGGAUGACGUCAAGUCAUCAUGGCCCUUACGACCAGGGCUACACACGUGCUACAAUGGCAUAUACAAAGAGAAGCGACCUCGCGAGAGCAAGCGGACCUCAUAAAGUAUGUCGUAGUCCGGAUUGGAGUCUGCAACUCGACUCCAUGAAGUCGGAAUCGCUAGUAAUCGUAGAUCAGAAUGCUACGGUGAAUACGUUCCCGGGCCUUGUACACACCGCCCGUCACACCAUGGGAGUGGGUUGCAAAAGAAGUAGGUAGCUUAACCUCGGAGGGCGCUUACCAACUUGGAUC
RNAcentral lists this ribosomal RNA (1427 nucleotides) under Klebsiella pneumoniae subsp. ozaenae. Its description in RNAcentral is "bacterial SSU rRNA". It matches the Rfam family "Bacterial small subunit ribosomal RNA". The record is from RNAcentral. Lineage: Bacteria; Pseudomonadati; Pseudomonadota; Gammaproteobacteria; Enterobacterales; Enterobacteriaceae.